This 514-nucleotide ribosomal RNA is filed under the name Triticum aestivum (bread wheat). Its description in RNAcentral is "partial small subunit ribosomal RNA". Lineage: Eukaryota; Viridiplantae; Streptophyta; Magnoliopsida; Poales; Poaceae. The record is from RNAcentral.
GGUAUGCGGCGGCGGCGCAUUUCGGGAUAGGGAUUGGGCGAGAGCAGAGGGAGGGAUCCUGCGUCAGCGGGACCGGUACGGCGGCGGCGGCGGGUGGGCAUGCAGCGGUCGUUGCCGGAGCGGUAGUAGGAGUACACGCGGGCUGCAAAGGCAGAGGAGCGACCGGGAUCCGAGUAGCUCGAAGGAGAGGUACGCAACGACGGAGGAGACGCGGCGGUGGGGUACCAGAGGUGGUCGCAGGGACGCCUCAUGUACCCUCGGCGGCGACGGCGGCCCCUGUUCCUAUGUGUACCUUUGGCGGUGUCGGAAUCCGUGCGGACGCCCGAUCGGAUACGGAUGAUAUAGGCCACAAGACCACGUAGGCCACGCUGGAGUUUCUUAUGUAAGAAGAUCGACUCGAAACUCGAGGAGUCCCUGCUACGGACCCCACCUUCGUCAAGUUGACGUGCUACUUCUUCACUCAAUUCCCCAAUUCUGCCAACGCAACCCGCACGGGACGAACGAACGACCACUC